This 253-nucleotide ribosomal RNA is filed under the name uncultured bacterium. RNAcentral describes it as "partial 16S ribosomal RNA". It matches the Rfam family "Bacterial small subunit ribosomal RNA", at positions 524 to 776 of the family's 1533-position model. The record is from RNAcentral.
UACGUAGGGCGCAAGCGUUAUCCGGAAUUACUGGGCGUAAAGCGCACGUAGGCGGCUUUGUAAGUUAGAGGUGAAAGCCCGGGGCUCAACUCCGGAAUUGCCUUUAAGACUGCAUCGCUAGAAUUGUGGAGAGGUAAGUGGAAUUCCGAGUGUAGAGGUGAAAUUCGUAGAUAUUCGGAAGAACACCAGUGGCGAAGGCGACUUACUGGACACAUAUUGACGCUGAGGUGCGAAAGCGUGGGGAGCAAACAGG